GUCCAUGCCGUAAACGUUGGGCACUAGGUGUGGGGACAUUCCACGUUUUCCGCGCCGUAGCUAACGCAUUAAGUGCCCCGCCUGGGGAGUACGGCCGCAAGGCUAAAACUCAAAGGAAUUGACGGGGCCCGCACAAGCGGCGGAGCAUGCGGAUUAAUUCGAUGCAACGCGAAGAACCUUACCAAGGCUUGACAUGAACCGGUAAUACCUGGAGACAGGUGCCCCGCUUGCGGUCGGUUUACAGGUGGUGCAUGGUUGUCGU
Molecule: ribosomal RNA, 262 nt
Filed under: uncultured bacterium
Lineage: Bacteria
Description: partial 16S ribosomal RNA
Rfam family: Bacterial small subunit ribosomal RNA
Source: RNAcentral